Molecule: non-coding RNA, 2425 nt
Organism: Arachis ipaensis
Lineage: Eukaryota; Viridiplantae; Streptophyta; Magnoliopsida; Fabales; Fabaceae
Source: RefSeq, a predicted model, not a curated record
AAGGUAUAUAUGUGUGUGUAUUGUUAGUAAAAUGCUAAGUAGGACGAAACGUGGUAGGUUGACUAACAAAAUUGACUGCAGACUUGAAAGACAGUAACUGUGCUAAUGAUGCAGUAAGUAAUUAAAUGUAAACAAUGAAUUAAAAAUAUCUAGAGAGAAAGAUAGAUAGAAAGAGAGUGUAAGAGAGAGAGAGAGAGUAGGUAUUCGCUUUCACAGUGGAAACCCUUUCUUGUUGCGCCGCCCUGUCCGGCAGUCCAGCCACCUAUGAUCUCGUCUUUUGUAGCCACCUUUCCUCUAAUCUAUUGUGGCUAUUGCAACUCCUUCUCCUCGGACAAUUCCGUCCAACUUUGUCUGGCCCUCAUCGCUGCAACUUUUUUCCGGCGACGCCCCCUUGGUUUGUCAUAGCGGUGCCACAUCUUCUGCUUUCUUCUUCCUCCGUUGUUGAACGGUAAUCACCAGUUUGUUGUUACUACACACCAUCCAAUUCUCAACGCUCAACACCAUCAAUCCAAUACGAAGUGAAUCUGUUCAACCAACCCCUAUUUUUGACAGAUCAGCAGAAGAAUCUGGACGUUCUGCUGUGUUCACGCCGAUCUUUAUCACAACAUGUCCUCUCUGAUGUGGUUGUCAUCAUCAUCGAUGUAGCAGCGGCAGAGAAAAGGGACACUGAAAUGCACAAUGAAGGCGAAGUUCACGCGAUGUGUGUUUGUUGUUAGUAAAAUGCUAAGUAGGACGAAACGUUGUUGCACAGUUUUUAUUUUGUUCUGUUCUUUGAGGUUAAAACAAGCAUACUGCAAAAAGGAUAACUUGAAUAUUUUCCUAAGCUAAUCAUCAAGGUCGAAAUCUAUAUGCCUAAGCCUUCUAUCAUCCAAGGCAAGCUAAGGUACCAGAAUUGGCACCACUGGCAGCAGAAACGUCGCAUUGGUAGCAACUUGUGAAAAUUAAAGUUCAAAAGCACCAACGAGCUCCCACCGAUCGAGUAGAGGAAUGUUGGAUUGAGAUGAGAUGAGUUUAACUUUUUUUUUUGGUUUUUUUUAUUGGUCAUGGGUUAUAAGCCCAACAAGACACCUCAGCCAAAACCUAAACCCAUCUUUAUCUUCCCAACCUAUCUGAAACUAACUCCCGCUUCUCUCCUUGAAUUUUUUGUUGAAUCAAUUUCCAUAGUACAUUCAAAUUAGCUAACUCCCACGAUGGGUUCUCCAAACUCUUAACGCAAAUUCUCUUUCUCCAACCACUCCUAAUGACAACGCCACUCUUCUCCUUCUUCAGCCUGGUAUCAGUUGCCACCGCUGCCUUUCAUCAGAGAUUGCGUUCGUCAAUGCUCCUCCCUUAUAAUUAUGUUGUUCUAACUUGCAGGGUGAUUCUUUGCGCAUCUGUACAAUUAUUUCUAAGGGCGGUCUGAUGAUCCAUGAUCUCUCCAGGGUUCCCAUAGCCUCCAAUGCUGCAACCUUGUGAGCCAACCGAUUUUCUUCUCUUGGAGUCCAUGUGAAGCCAAAUUCGGUUUCUCCUCUUGUGAGUUCAAAAAUAUCCAAUAAAAUAGGAUCAAUUUCACCUAUUCUACUUUUUUAUUUUAACGUCUGUACUAGCAUUACAUUAUCUGAUUCUAUUAACACCUUUAUCUCCAUGCUUUUUGAUGGAAUAAUGGCAUGCCUGAUUACUAAAGCUUCUGCUGCUAGACUAGAACACGCCAUAAUUUUCGUUGAUUCCCCAAUUACAAGAUUUCCUGUGCUGUCACUGAUUGUCACUGUAGUGGCUCCUGUCCUCAUUGUUGCUUUAAAGAAUGCAUCAACAUUAGCCUUUACCCAAGGCUCUGGGGGAGGUCUCCAGUUCCUCAAUUUUGGACUGCAGUUCCCUUUCCAUCUCCAGAAAAGAGGAAGUUGACGCUUCCAAUGUAGUUUCCUUUAACUAGGAGCUUAUCAAGAGCCAUGGCUGAAACUAACUUCAAUUCCAAAAGUAAUCCACUUUCCUCCAUUGGAAACAAUAAUCAUUGCCGACAAGCCAUUAGCAGAGAAAAGCAAACGAAGAAACUUUGAAUGAUGAGAAAAGAGAAUAUUAAAAGGAAAAAGUUUACCACUUCAAUUGAGUUAAAAAGGGGCACCGUAUAAGAUGGGGGCACAAACCAAACCCUAAACCCCAAUCCAAAAAGCGAAGUGGAGUGCAGUGCAACAGAACAAAUUGAGAAUCCUUUUGAUAAUUGCGUCAAGAUAGUAGAAGAGCAGGGAGAAUCAUGGCGCCGAGGAGGAUCUCGGAAGAACUGAAGAGGCUUAUGCAACCAUAGAGAUUCUUGGAAGAGACAACCUUGAGAGGCAAUCCAUACUGAAUUUGGUUUCUGUGAACAGUUUCAAGGGAGUCAUCAUGGUAGCCGGUGAUGCCCUCAUCAACAGUGAGCAGGAAGAGAUGGAGGCCAUAGUCAUUAUGUAUCCAC